UACGGGAGGCAGCAGUGGGGAAUAUUGCACAAUGGGCGAAAGCCUGAUGCAGCUAUGCCGCGUGUAUGAAGAAGGCCUUAGGGUUGUAAAGUACUUUCAUCGGGGAGGAAAAACAAAACUAAUAAUUUUAUUUCUUGACGUUACCCGAAAAAGAAGCACCGGCUAACUCCGUGCCAGCAGCCGCGGUAAUACGGAGGGUGCUAGCGUUAAUCAGAAUUACUGGGCGUAAAGAGCACGUAGGUGGUUUUUUUAAGUCAGAUGUGAAAUCCCCUGGGCUUAACCUGGAACUGCAUUUUGAAACUGAAAUACUAGAGUAUCGUAGAGGGAGGUAGAAUUCUAGGUGUAGCGGUGAAAUGCGUAGAUAUCUGGAGGAAUACCUGUGGCGAAAGCGGCCUCCUAAACGAAUACUGACACUGAGGUGCGAAAGCGUGGGAGGCAAACAGGAUUAGAUA
This 452-nucleotide ribosomal RNA is filed under the name uncultured bacterium. Its description in RNAcentral is "bacterial SSU rRNA". It matches the Rfam family "Bacterial small subunit ribosomal RNA", at positions 340 to 784 of the family's 1533-position model. The record is from RNAcentral.